This 505-nucleotide ribosomal RNA is filed under the name uncultured bacterium. RNAcentral describes it as "partial 16S ribosomal RNA". It matches the Rfam family "Bacterial small subunit ribosomal RNA", at positions 28 to 507 of the family's 1533-position model. The record is from RNAcentral.
GACGAACGCUGGCGGCGUGCCUAAUACAUGCAAGUAGGACGCACAGUCUAUACCGUAGCUUGCUACACCAUAGGCUGUGAGUUGCGAACGGGUGAGUAACGCGUAGGUAACCUGCCUAUUAGAGGGGGAUAACUAUUGGAAACGAUAGCUAAUACCGCAUAACAGUAUGUAACACAUGUUAGAUGCUUGAAAGAUGCAAUUGCAUCGCUAGUAGAUGGACCUGCGUUGUAUUAGCUAGUAGGUAGGGUAAUGGCCUACCUAGGCGACGAUACAUAGCCGACCUGAGAGGGUGAUCGGCCACACUGGGACUGAGACACGGCCUAGACUCCUACGGGAGGCAGCAGUAGGGAAUCUUCGGCAAUGGGGGGAACCCUGACCGAGCAACGCCGCGUGAGUGAAGAAGGUUUUCGGAUCGUAAAGCUCUGUUGUUAAGGAAGAACGAGUGUGAGAAUGGAAAGUUCAUACUGUGACGGUACUUAACCAGAAAGGGACGGCUAACUACGUG